Molecule: ribosomal RNA, 760 nt
Filed under: uncultured Rhizophagus
Lineage: Eukaryota; Fungi; Glomeromycota; Glomeromycetes; Glomerales; Glomeraceae
Description: eukaryotic LSU rRNA
Rfam family: Eukaryotic large subunit ribosomal RNA
Source: RNAcentral
GCAUAUCAAUAAGCGGAGGAAAAGAAAAUAACAAUGAUUCCCCUAGUAAAGCGAGUGAAGAGGGACAAGCUCAAAUUUUAAAUCCAUCGGGUUUUACCUGAUCGAGUUGUAAUUUGAAGAAGCGUUUUCUGCGUAUUUGGUCAGCCUAAGUCCUAUUGAAUGAGGCAUCAUGGAGGGUGAUAAUCCCGUCCGGUUGAUCAUUUGCGUUUUACGAUACGCUUUCUAAGAGUCAAGUUGUUUGGGAUUGCAGCUUAAAAUGGGAGGUAAAUUUCUCCUAAGGCUAAAUAACGGCGAGAGACCGAUAGCGAACAAGUACCGUGAGGGAAAGAUGAAAAGAACUUUGAAAAGAGAGUUAAACAGUACGUGAAAUUGUUGAAAGGGAAACGAUUGAAGCCAGUCGUACCUUCGGGUAAUCAGCCUUUCGGGUGCGAUUCUGUGGGGUUUGAGGAGCUUAACACCUUCAUGCUUUGCAUAUUCGUGCUCUUGGGUGUACUUGCCCGUGUGGUUGGUUAACAUCAAUUUCGGGCACCAUAAAAUGGCUGGAGGAAUGUAGCUUCGAUCUUGUAUUGAAGUGUUAUAGCCUUCGGUAGAUGUGGUGAUCGAGAUUGAGGAUUGCAACGGAUACCUUUCGGGGCUACCUGUCUGAUCUCUGAUCGUUGUUUUGGUGCUGAAAGCGUGCUUAUAGUUAUCAAAGUCGAUGGUCAAUAGGUUAGAAUGGGUUAAAUUCGUUAAGGAUGUUGACGUAAUGGCUUUAAACGAC